AGAGUUUGAUCCUGGCUCAGAUUGAACGCUGGCGGCAGGCUUAACACAUGCAAGUCGAGCGGUAACAUUUCUAGCUUGCUAGAAGAUGAUGAGCGGCGGACGGGUGAGUAAUACUUAGGAAUCUACCUAGUAGUGGGGGAUAGCUCGGGGAAACUCGAAUUAAUACCGCAUACGACCUACGGGAGAAAGGGGGCAACUUGUUGCUCUCGCUAUUAGAUGAGCCUAAGUCGGAUUAGCUAGAUGGUGGGGUAAAGGCCUACCAUGGCGACGAUCUGUAGCUGGUCUGAGAGGAUGAUCAGCCACACCGGGACUGAGACACGGCCCGGACUCCUACGGGAGGCAGCAGUGGGGAAUAUUGGACAAUGGGGGAAACCCUGAUCCAGCCAUGCCGCGUGUGUGAAGAAGGCCUUUUGGUUGUAAAGCACUUUAAGCAGUGAAGAAGACUCUUCGGUUAAUACCCGGAGACGAUGACAUUAGCUGCAGAAUAAGCACCGGCUAACUCUGUGCCAGCAGCCGCGGUAAUACAGAGGGUGCAAGCGUUAAUCGGAAUUACUGGGCGUAAAGCGAGCGUAGGUGGCUUGAUAAGUCAGAUGUGAAAUCCCCGGGCUUAACCUGGGAACUGCAUCUGAUACUGUCAGGCUAGAGUAGGUGAGAGGAAGGUAGAAUUCCAGGUGUAGCGGUGAAAUGCGUAGAGAUCUGGAGGAAUACCGAUGGCGAAGGCAGCCUUCUGGCAUCAUACUGACACUGAGGCUCGAAAGCGUGGGUAGCAAACAGGAUUAGAUACCCUGGUAGUCC
RNAcentral lists this ribosomal RNA (795 nucleotides) under uncultured bacterium. RNAcentral's name for it is "bacterial SSU rRNA". It matches the Rfam family "Bacterial small subunit ribosomal RNA", at positions 8 to 796 of the family's 1533-position model. The record is from RNAcentral.